UUCCGGUUGAUCCUGCCGGACCCCACUGCUAUCGGGAUAGGACUAAGACAUGCUAGUCAAGCGUGCCGAGUGCGGCGCACAGCUCAGUAGCACGUGGCUAACCUGCCCUUGGGACGGGAAUACCCCCGGGAAACUGGGGCUAAUCCCCGAUAGGUGAAGAACUCUGGGAUGAGUCUCCGCCCAAAGCUUUUACGCCCAAGGAUGGGGCCGCGACCGAUCAGGUAGUUGGUGAGGCAACGGCUCACCAAGCCUUUAACCGGUGCGGGCCGUGGGAGCGGGAGCCCGGAGAUGGGCACUGAGACAAGGGCCCAGGCCCUACGGGGCGCAGCAGUCGCGAAAACUUUGCAAUACACGAAAGUGUGAACGGGCUACCCCGAGUGCCGUCCGCUGAGGAUGGCUUUUCUCUGCUGUAAGAAGGCGGAGGAAUAAGGCGAGGGCAAGUCUGGUGUCAGCCGCCGCGGUAAUACCAGCUCGCCGAGUGGUAGGGAUGAUUAUUGGGCCUGAAGCGUCCGUAGCCGGCCUUUCAAGUCUCUUGUUAAAUCCAACGAUUCAAUCGCUGGACUGCAGGAGAUACUGUUAGGCUAGGGGGCGGGAGAAGCCGACGGUAUUUUCGGGGUAGGGGUAAAAUCCUAUAAUCCCGGGAAGACCACCAGUGGCGUAGGCGGUCGGCUAGCACGCGCUCGACGGUGAGGGACGAAAGCUGGGGGAGCGAACCGGAUUAGAUACCCGGGUAGUCCCAGCUGUAAACGAUGCUGGCUAGGUGUUGAAGCGGCUACGAGCCGCUUCAGUGCCGCAGGGAAGCCAUUAAGCCAGCCGCCUGGGGAGUACGGCCGCAAGGCUGAAACUUAAAGGAAUUGGCGGGGGAGCACCACAAGGGGUGAAGCUUGCGGUUUAAUUGGAGUCAACGCCGGA
Molecule: ribosomal RNA, 912 nt
Filed under: uncultured archaeon
Lineage: Archaea
Description: bacterial SSU rRNA
Rfam family: Archaeal small subunit ribosomal RNA
Source: RNAcentral